This 490-nucleotide ribosomal RNA is filed under the name uncultured bacterium. RNAcentral describes it as "partial 16S ribosomal RNA". It matches the Rfam family "Bacterial small subunit ribosomal RNA", at positions 30 to 507 of the family's 1533-position model. The record is from RNAcentral.
AUUGAACGCUGGCGGCAGGCCUAACACAUGCAAGUCGAACGGUAACAGGAAGACGCUUGCUUCUUUGCUGACGAGUGGCGGACGGGUGAGUCAUGUCUGGGAAACUGCCUGAUGGAGGGGGAUAACUACUGGAAACGGUAGCUACUACCGCAUAACGUCGCAAGCCCAAUGAGGGGGACCUUCGGGCCUCUUGCCAUCGGAUGUGCCCAGAUGGGAUUCGCUAGUAGGUGGGGUUACGGCUCACCUAGUCGACGAUCCCUAGCUGGUCUGAGAGGAUGACCGGCCACACUGGAACUGGGACAGGGUCCAGGCGACUACGGGAGGCAGCAGUGGGGAAUAUUGCACAAUGGGCGCAAGCAUGGUGCAGCCAGGCCGCGUGUAUGGAGAAGGCGUUCGGGUUGUAAAGUACUUUCAGCGGUGAGGAAGGGAGUAAAGUUAAGACCUUUGCUCAUUGACGGUACCCGCAGAAGAAGCACCGGCUAACUCCGUG